UACGGGGGGAGCAAGCGUUGUUCGGAUUUACUGGGCGUAAAGGGCGCGUAGGCGGUCGUGACAAGUCACUUGUGAAAUCUCCGGGCUUAACUCGGAACGGUCAAGUGAUACUGUCGGACUAGAGUACAGAAGGGGCAACUGGAAUUCCCGGUGUAGCGGUGAAAUGCGCAGAUAUCGGGAGGAACACCAGUGGCGAAGGCGGAACUCUGGGCCGGAACUGACGCUGAGGAGCGAAAGCCAGGGGAGCAAACGGG
This 254-nucleotide ribosomal RNA is filed under the name uncultured bacterium. RNAcentral's name for it is "partial 16S ribosomal RNA". It matches the Rfam family "Bacterial small subunit ribosomal RNA", at positions 524 to 776 of the family's 1533-position model. The record is from RNAcentral.